GCUCCUCUACAAAAACUCGGUUGUCUCGCAUAGAAGAGUACGUCAAGGGAGGCAGAAACCUUGGGAGCUGGACUGUGUGGGUGGCCUUGGAAACAUACCUACAGCUCCAGGAGGCGUUCGGCUGGGCAGCCUUUAA
Gadus morhua (Atlantic cod) is the source of this 136-nucleotide long non-coding RNA. RefSeq lists it as uncharacterized. NCBI's taxonomy places the organism in Eukaryota, Metazoa, Chordata, Actinopteri, Gadiformes, Gadidae. The record is from RefSeq and is a predicted model, not a curated record. The transcript is spliced from 2 exons.